UGGGGUCCAAAAACACAAAGUUCCUUUGAUGCUUCAUGCGUAGUCAACUUGCACAACAGAUGAAAGCUACUGAAAGGGUAUAUUCUGAGUCAAGAACCUUAUGAAUGAUGGAACCAUUUGUGCUGCACAAUGCUUCUCGAACAAAUGAUACUCUCUGGUUCACCUUUCAAAAGGUAUCCUUUAGUAACCCAUGCAAUAAUGAUGCAGUAGAAACUUCGUUUCUUGCCAGGAUUGCUAAGUGUUAUAGUGUUGCUUAAAACAUAUGUUGGCUUUGUGCAUCUUUGCAUCUGAUGACAUAGUUUCAACAUGUUGUAGCUCUGCAUGCAAUUAAAUAUCAGAGGCUCUUAUCUUUGAAACCUUUCACAGGUUUCAUGUUUUCUGUCUAAUCUCAGUUUGGAGUUUGAUGGAGUCAUUCACUCAUUAGAUUAUUUUAGGAACUAGUUGUUUUCAUGGUAACACUCGCUUCAUUAGUGAGAUCACAAGCCAGGCCUCACAAUGCAGAAUUCAUUAGUUAUGAUGACAUGACAACAAGAAUUUCAUGUGAUUCAAUAAACAAAAUAUACAUUCCAUCAUUGCGCCUCAUAAAUGGAUGAAAUUUUCAGCUAUAUAUUCUACAUGCAUUGUUAUUGUAGUAAUAUGUGAAAGAUACAACACCAGGUUAAAGAGUUUUAGGCUGUCAAAGGCACUGUAAGGUCAUCUAUGCAGAACAACCUUCACUCUUUCCCUGUAGAUUAUUCUUCAAAACUCAGAAGGGAAGAAGAAAGGACUAUUCAUUGGACUAAUGCUUAAGGAUUUAUCUCCCCUACUGUCGCAUCACUUUUGAUCCUUUCUGCAAGCUUUACUCUCAUGCUUGAACAGCCGCUCUUGUUUCAAAAGCAAAUGUCCCAUCUCCCCGUCAAAUCUGGUCCCAAAUCUUAUGAGGAGCAGUGCAUGCUUUUCUUUCUUUUAUCUUCUCAAAAAAUGUGGUCCUAUGUAUUGCUGCAUGAUAUAUAAGUGCAUAUAUUUAUGCUAAGCAUGUUAUGGUUUCCAGUGAUCGUUUUCUACCUCUAAACACAUUGUUGUUCAUUAAGUAGGAUCACAGAGAAUUGAUGUGCUAGAGUUACACAUUGCUUCUGGCCAUUUGCCCUGUGUAAAGUAUCAAACAUGUUGCAUGCUAAGCACAACUAUUCAAGGUGAUGCAAGUUGAUGAAUGAUGGUAAUUAUGUUUCACCAGUAUUCAUAUUUUAUAUUGAGUUGCAUGGACGAGGAUUCACGCACCUAAGUACUUAGGUGUUGAAGUUUGAGCCUCUUUUAUGUGCUGUUAUAUCUGUCAUUUCCUGAGCAGUGACAAAAGUACUUCUGGUCCUAACAAAGUUGCUCACAUAAAGAUUUGGGAGUAAAGGGCAUAAGAUGCAUCAAAUCCCAUCAUACCUGUUGGAUGGCCCUGCUCCUGUGGCAACACCUUAGGAUUUAAUAUAAAUAUUGUCAUAGCUCUAAUAUAUUAUGAGAAAGGUAAAUGUAUACCAAGAAAGAUAGUUACAUUGAGAGAGUUUAAGGAAAAAACCAUAGGGUUUUAUUAGAGGGGAUAGGAACUAUUGAUGAUUUGAUGGUCGGUUGAUCUUCCUGGUUUUCUGGUAUAUUACUCUUGAUAUCUGAGAAGUAUCAUUUUAAUGAUGUUUAGUUGAUAUCCUACUUUUCUCCUUGGUUUUCUAUAAAAAAAAUCUGAAUGAUUGUUUUUGAACCAAGAAUUAUUUUUGAUGAUGUCUGAUAUAUUCUGGUUGAUCUUAGAGAGGAGUAUUUAUAGCCUCAUAGUUUCUGAUUAGUAAAACAAUCUAGAGAGGGCAUGCAAUAGUCACUCUCUUUUCCUUGGAAUCACCAGUAGUAUCAAUGUCAUUUGUUAACUGUUUCUUUCACUUCAACUCCAAAUGAAGCCACGAGCAGUAGGGUAUUAUAAGCUCAGUUGUCAUCUGGUGACGUCUGGCUUCCCAAUGUCAAGUUCACAUGAAGGCAUUGUAGAUUGAGCAUGCGUUGUUUUGAUGCAUGGAAAAUACAUACAUAUAUGACUGGUCUCUCUCACAGGAAGACUAUUCACCAUUGCAUUUUCUACAGGCAUGGAGUACGAGCUGUGACUUUUUAGGCUUCAUCAAUUCAAAACGAGAACAACGGAGUCUAAGGAAGAAAUAAACCCCCUUCCAUAGUCACACCCUUCAAAUCGCAAGACUUUUCGACUCCUCCAAACAUUGUUUCAGUGUUGUACAAAGACAUGAAGGUCAGUACCAAUGACCCUCUUGAUCCUCCCAGGUUUCUGAAGUCAAA
This 2295-nucleotide long non-coding RNA is filed under the name Musa acuminata (dwarf banana). Its description in RNAcentral is "long non-coding RNA (MACU_LNC002943)". Lineage: Eukaryota; Viridiplantae; Streptophyta; Magnoliopsida; Zingiberales; Musaceae. The record is from RNAcentral.